This is a long non-coding RNA of Carassius gibelio (silver crucian carp), 236 nucleotides long. RefSeq lists it as uncharacterized. Lineage: Eukaryota; Metazoa; Chordata; Actinopteri; Cypriniformes; Cyprinidae. The transcript is spliced from 3 exons. The record is from RefSeq and is a predicted model, not a curated record.
CACACAUCGCGAUACUUGCCAUCAGUUUCCAUGUGCCACAGGGUCGAUGUAAAGGAAGCAGUCAUCCCUGUGGUGUUUGUGGAGAGGUUUUCCUUCAGAAAUGGAGAAGACUGAAAGCUGCGGAGGCAGACAUUUGCAGCAGAUUGUUUGCAGAUAAUGCUGUUCAAGCUCAACAGCUCUUUUAAGAGCCAACCCUCACAAACCUUCCUAAAAACUAAGAGCUAUUACUGAGUCUC